RNAcentral lists this ribosomal RNA (460 nucleotides) under uncultured bacterium. Its description in RNAcentral is "partial 16S ribosomal RNA". It matches the Rfam family "Bacterial small subunit ribosomal RNA", at positions 338 to 795 of the family's 1533-position model. The record is from RNAcentral.
CCUACGGGAGGCAGCAGUGAGGAAUAUUGGUCAAUGGACGAGAGUCUGAACCAGCCAAGUAGCGUGAAGGAUGACUGCCCUGUGGAUUGUAAACUUCUUUUAUAUGGGAAUAAAAUGUUCCACGUGUGGGAUUUUGUAUGUACCAUAUGAAUAAGGAUCGGCUAACUCCGUGCCAGCAGCCGCGGUAAUACGGAGGAUCCGAGCGUUAUCCGGAUUUAUUGGGUUUAAAGGGAGCGUAGGUGGAUUGUUAAGUCAGUUGUGAAAGUUUGGGGCUCAACCGUAGAAUUGCAGUUGAAACUGGCAGUCUUGAGUACAGUAGAGGUGGGCGGAAUUCGUGGUGUAGCGGUGAAAUGCUUAGAUAUCACGAAGAACUCCGAUUGCGAAGGCAGCUUACUAGACUGACACUGACGUUGAUGCUCGAAAGUGUGGGUAUCAAACAGGAUUAGAUACCCCUGUAGUC